UAGCAGAACCCCAAGUGGUAGUCGUUAUUAUUGGGCUUAAAGUGUUCGUAGCCGGCCGUGCAAGUCCGCUGUGAAAUCCAAGCGCUUAACGUUUGGGCGUGCAGCGGAAACUGCACUGGCUAGGGACCGGACGGUGUCGAGGCUAUUCCAGGAGUAGGGGUGAAAUCCUAAAAUUCCUGGAGGAGCGCCUGUGGCGGAAGCGCUCGACAAGUACGGAUCCGACGGUGAGGAACGAAAGCCAGGGGAGCAAAGCGGAUUAGAUACCCGCGUAGUCCUGGCCGUUAACAUUGCCUGUUUGAUGUCAGCCAACCUUCGGGGUUGGCUGGUGCCGAAGUGAAGACGUUAAACGGGCCGCCUGGGUAGUACGGUCGCAAGGCUGAAACUUAAAGGAAUUGACGGGGGAGCACCACAACCGGUGGAGGCUGCGGUUUAAUUAGAUCAAACGCAGAGAACCCUACCAGAGCCGACAGCAGAAUGACGGUCAGCUUGAAGAGCUUACCUGACGCGCUGAGAGGAGCUGCAUGGCCGCCGUCAGCUCGUGCCGUGAGGUGUCCGGUUAAGUCCGGUAACGAGCGAGACCCGCAUCUUAUGUUGCCAUGGAUUCACUUGAUGAAUUCGGCACUCGUAAGAGACCGCUGGCGAUAAGUCAGAGGAAGGAGCGGGCCACGGUAGG
This 673-nucleotide ribosomal RNA is filed under the name uncultured prokaryote. RNAcentral describes it as "bacterial SSU rRNA". It matches the Rfam family "Archaeal small subunit ribosomal RNA", at positions 474 to 1145 of the family's 1478-position model. The record is from RNAcentral.